UUUAUUGGAGAGUUUGAUCCUGGCUCAGGAUGAACGCUGGCGGCGUGCCUAAUACAUGCAAGUCGAGCGAAUGGAUUAAGAGCUUGCUCUUAUGAAGUUAGCGGCGGACGGGUGAGUAACACGUGGGUAACCUGCCCAUAAGACUGGGAUAACUCCGGGAAACCGGGGCUAAUACCGGAUAACAUUUUGAACCGCAUGGUUCGAAAUUGAAAGGCGGCUUCGGCUGUCACUUAUGGAUGGACCCGCGUCGCAUUAGCUAGUUGGUGAGGUAACGGCUCACCAAGGCAACGAUGCGUAGCCGACCUGAGAGGGUGAUCGGCCACACUGGGACUGAGACACGGCCCAGACUCCUACGGGAGGCAGCAGUAGGGAAUCUUCCGCAAUGGACGAAAGUCUGACGGAGCAACGCCGCGUGAGUGAUGAAGGCUUUCGGGUCGUAAAACUCUGUUGUUAGGGAAGAACAAGUGCUAGUUGAAUAAGCUGGCACCUUGACGGUACCUAACCAGAAAGCCACGGCUAACUACGUGCCAGCAGCCGCGGUAAUACGUAGGUGGCAAGCGUUAUCCGGAAUUAUUGGGCGUAAAGCGCGCGCAGGUGGUUUCUUAAGUCUGAUGUGAAAGCCCACGGCUCAACCGUGGAGGGUCAUUGGAAACUGGGAGACUUGAGUGCAGAAGAGGAAAGUGGAAUUCCAUGUGUAGCGGUGAAAUGCGUAGAGAUAUGGAGGAACACCAGUGGCGAAGGCGACUUUCUGGUCUGUAACUGACACUGAGG
Molecule: ribosomal RNA, 771 nt
Filed under: Escherichia coli
Lineage: Bacteria; Pseudomonadati; Pseudomonadota; Gammaproteobacteria; Enterobacterales; Enterobacteriaceae
Description: bacterial SSU rRNA
Rfam family: Bacterial small subunit ribosomal RNA
Source: RNAcentral